CCGCCCUCCCCUCCUCCUCUGCUCCGCAUGCUCUCCCCCCACGAUUAACUCCGCUGCUGUACCUGAGGUGGGGGCAGUUCGGUCCCUGGUCCCCCAGAUGGAUGCCGUCGCUCUUCCCCUCUUCUACCUCCUCAACCAUGCGGCCGCUCCCUCCGCGUUUUCCGCUCCCCCCUGGCCGCAUCCUGUGACUCCAUGCUGGCGGCAUUGUGGCCUCAUGCGGAUCGGACUAUACCCCCCCGGCCAGGCCUGACAGCGCUGCUGCUCACAGUGUCCAUGGGACCUACGGCAGUGUGGUGCAGUAAAGGGGCAUGCAGCAGCAGUGUCAUCGCAGUACUCAGAGGAGGAGGCGGUCCAGCCAAUCCGGACCCACCUCUCACCUUUUUUCCCCUCUCUGCCGCUGUUGCCCGACAUCACAAUUCCACAAAAACUAGAAGAGGGGACCUGCUGCUGCCAGUGCUGAAAGGAGGACCCGCUGCUAGCGGCACUAAUGAGAAGGGGGACCCGCUGCUAGCGGCACUAAUGAGAAGGGGGACCCGCUGCUAGCGGCACAAAUGAGAAGGGGGACCCGCUGCUGCCUGAGUGAGGACUCGGCCUGAAGAACAUCUUACAGAGGACCCCUGGAGAGAGGGCAAUAGGAGCACUCCGGUGGAAGUCGAAAUUGGAGGAGUCGUGCCAGCUGCCAGAUAGGAUCGGCAAGGACCCUCUGUGCAGCAGGAGCAGCGUGUUACAGUGUUAUACAUCCUGGGCCUGCUCAGGAGUUCGGAAGUGGCAGAAGAACCGCAAUGCAGAGUGAUUUUUACAUUGCAGAUCAGCCGGAACAGUGCUUGUAAAAAAACCGCCAAGCCUUUUGAAACUAGCUUACACAGCUAUGAAUGAUAGCAAGCACAGCGUCCGUCGAAGAAGCUCAUUGCAGGAAUAUGUAUUUUUCACCAGUACCAUAGACCUCAGGGAACCUUGUAGCACACCGGGUUUGGGUAGUGGAGAAAUACUCACCUGGAAGCUCAGAUGUCUGACCUGGAAGUCACAUGACAGCCGGGAGCUGGAAGACACCACUGCUGCCGUUGCAGCCAUCAGAAUACGGAAGACGCAGCUGGGCUACCAUGACCAUAUGUUGGCAUUCUAGCAUGCCUACAUUUCAUCACUGUCUACAUCAGUGGGUCCCAAACCCUUUUUAAUCAAGGCACACUAGAGUCAGUAUUGUGUUCACGGCACCCCUAGGCCAAAAGUUUCUUACUGAAAAAUUCUGAAAAAAGUAAUUAAAUUAAGUAAAUUGUGUUUAGAUGUCAUCCU
Long non-coding RNA from Pseudophryne corroboree (corroboree frog), 1290 nucleotides. RefSeq lists it as uncharacterized. The transcript has 5 exons. The record is from RefSeq and is a predicted model, not a curated record. NCBI's taxonomy places the organism in Eukaryota, Metazoa, Chordata, Amphibia, Anura, Myobatrachidae.